AUUGAACGCUGGUGGCAGGCCUAACACAUGCAAGUCGAGCGGAUGAAGGGAGCUUGCUCCUGGAUUCAGCGGCGGACGGGUGAGUAAUGCCUAGGAAUCUGCCUGGUAGUGGGGGAUAACGUCCGGAAACGGGCGCUAAUACCGCAUACGUCCUGAGGGAGAAAGUGGGGGAUCUUCGGACCUCACGCUAUCAGAUGAGCCUAGGUCGGAUUAGCUAGUUGGUGGGGUAAAGGCCUACCAAGGUGACGAUCCGUAACUGGUCUGAGAGGAUGAUCAGUCACACUGGAACUGAGACACGGUCCAGACUCCUACGGGAGGCAGCAGUGGGGAAUAUUGGACAAUGGGCGAAAGCCUGAUCCAGCCAUGCCGCGUGUGUGAAGAAGGUCUUCGGAUUGUAAAGCACUUUAAGUUGGGAGGAAGGGCAGUAAGUUAAUACCUUGCUGUUUUGACGUUACCAACAGAAUAAGCACCGGCUAACUUCGUG
RNAcentral lists this ribosomal RNA (484 nucleotides) under uncultured bacterium. RNAcentral describes it as "partial 16S ribosomal RNA". It matches the Rfam family "Bacterial small subunit ribosomal RNA", at positions 30 to 507 of the family's 1533-position model. The record is from RNAcentral.